CCGGGUAUGGUGUAGCGGUAACAUCGUUGACUCUCACUCAACAGCCCGGGGUUCGACUCCCCGUAUCCGAG
RNAcentral lists this transfer RNA (71 nucleotides) under Thermothielavioides terrestris NRRL 8126. RNAcentral describes it as "tRNA-Glu (CTC) (tRNA-Glu-CTC-2-1)". It matches the Rfam family "tRNA". From Rfam's summary of the family: Transfer RNA (tRNA) molecules are approximately 80 nucleotides in length. Lineage: Eukaryota; Fungi; Ascomycota; Sordariomycetes; Sordariales; Chaetomiaceae. The record is from RNAcentral.